This 457-nucleotide ribosomal RNA is filed under the name uncultured Anaerovibrio sp. RNAcentral's name for it is "partial 16S ribosomal RNA". It matches the Rfam family "Bacterial small subunit ribosomal RNA", at positions 341 to 792 of the family's 1533-position model. Lineage: Bacteria; Bacillati; Bacillota; Negativicutes; Selenomonadales; Selenomonadaceae. The record is from RNAcentral.
ACGGGGGCAGCAGUUGGGAAUCUUCCGCAAUGGGCGAAAGCCUGACGGAGCAACGCCGCGUGAGUGAAGAAGGUUUUCGGAUCGUAAAGCUCUGUUGUCAGGGACGAGAGACAUAUUCAGGAAAUGGGAUAUGGAGGACGGUACCUGGCGAGAAAGCCACGGCUAACUACGUGCCAGCAGCCGCGGUAAUACGUAGGUGGCGAGCGUUGUCCGGAAUUAUUGGGCGUAAAGGGAGCGCAGGUGGGAAUGUAAGUCAGUCUUAAAAGUGCGGGGCUCAACCCCGUGAGGGGAUUGAAACUACAUUUCUUGAGUGCAGGAGAGGAAAGCGGAAUUCCUAGUGUAGCGGUGAAAUGCGUAGAUAUUAGGAGGAACACCAGUGGCGAAGGCGGCUUUCUGGACUGUAACUGACACUGAGGCUCGAAAGCGUGGGGAGCGAACAGGAUUAGAUACCCUGGUA